UUCAUGCUCAGUUUGGCGUCGCGGGCCGCCUCCUCUCUACUACAUGCACUAAGGCCAUUUGUGAAGCUCUCGGCAUUUUAUUACAAUUUACGGCUUCUAUGAACUUUUCAGCUCCAUUUAUACGGAUGGAAUGUUGUUACAUAAGGACUUAUUAAAAAUAUGAAGCUGGGAAAGACUGCCGUUGUUGGUCAUUAGCCUUUGAGUAAAAACUUAGCGACGCCCGAAGACAGCAGUGACGUUUUUUUCGGACAAUCUUUUUUCUCUUAUUAAUGGCGCAGUUUUGUUUUUAAAUUUGGUAUUACUAUAUAUAUGCAUAUAUAUUUGUCGGAUGACUAAUAUAAGGUUUUUAUGACCUGAUAGAAAUAAACAAAAUAAUAUAUAAAAA
This is a long non-coding RNA of Bombyx mori (domestic silkworm), 385 nucleotides long. RefSeq lists it as uncharacterized. The record is from RefSeq and is a predicted model, not a curated record. The transcript has 2 exons. NCBI's taxonomy places the organism in Eukaryota, Metazoa, Arthropoda, Insecta, Lepidoptera, Bombycidae.